AGAAUACCAAGGCGCUUGAGAGAACUCGGGUGAAGGAACUAGGCAAAAUGGUGCCGUAACUUCGGGAGAAGGCACGCUGAUAUGUAGGUGAAGUCCCUCGCGGAUGGAGCUGAAAUCAGUCGAAGAUACCAGCUGGCUGCAACUGUUUAUUAAAAACACAGCACUGUGCAAACACGAAAGUGGACGUAUACGGUGUGACGCCUGCCCGGUGCCGGAAGGUUAAUUGAUGGGGUCAGCGCAAGCGAAGCUCUUGAUCGAAGCCCCGGUAAACGGCGGCCGUAACUAUAACGGUCCUAAGGUAGCGAAAUUCCUUGUCGGGUAAGUUCCGACCUGCACGAAUGGCGUAAUGAUGGCCAGGCUGUCUCCACCCGAGACUCAGUGAAAUUGAACUCGCUGUGAAGAUGCAGUGUACCCGCGGCAAGACGGAAAGACCCCGUGAACCUUUACUAUAGCUUGACACUGAACAUUGAGCCUUGAUGUGUAGGAUAGGUGGGAGGCUUUGAAGUGUGGACGCCAGUCUGCAUGGAGCCGACCUUGAAAUACCACCCUUUAAUGUUUGAUGUUCUAACGUGGACCCGUGAUCCGGGUUGCGGACAGUGUCUGGUGGGUAGUUUGACUGGGGCGGUCUCCUCCUAAAGAGUAACGGAGGAGCACGAAGGUUGGCUAAUCCUGGUCGGACAUCAGGAGGUUAGUGCAAUGGCAUAAGCCAGCUUGACUGCGAGCGUGACGGCGCGAGCAGGUGCGAAAGCAGGUCAUAGUGAUCCGGUGGUUCUGAAUGGAAGGGCCAUCGCUCAACGGAUAAAAGGUACUCCGGGGAUAACAGGCUGAUACCGCCCAAGAGUUCAUAUCGACGGCGGUGUUUGGCACCUCGAUGUCGGCUCAUCACAUCCUGGGGCUGAAGUAGGUCCCAAGGGUAUGGCUGUUCGCCAUUUAAAGUGGUACGCGAGCUGGGUUUAGAACGUCGUGAGACAGUUCGGUCCCUAUCUGCCGUGGGCGCUGGAGAACUGAGGGGGGCUGCUCCUAGUACGAGAGGACCGGAGUGGACGCAUCACUGGUGUUCGGGUUGUCAUGCCAAUGGCACUGCCCGGUAGCUAAAUGCGGAAGAGAUAAGUGCUGAAAGCAUCUAAGCACGAAACUUGCCCCGAGAUGAGUUCUCCCUGACCCUUUAAGGGUCCUGAAGGAACGUUGAAGACGACGACGUUGAUAGGCCGGGUGUGUAAGCGCAGCGAUGCGUUGAGCUAACCGGUACUAAUGAACCGUGAGGCUUAACCUU
This 1273-nucleotide ribosomal RNA is filed under the name Escherichia coli. RNAcentral's name for it is "partial 23S ribosomal RNA". It matches the Rfam family "Bacterial large subunit ribosomal RNA", at positions 1675 to 2925 of the family's 2925-position model. Lineage: Bacteria; Pseudomonadati; Pseudomonadota; Gammaproteobacteria; Enterobacterales; Enterobacteriaceae. The record is from RNAcentral.